Molecule: ribosomal RNA, 497 nt
Filed under: uncultured bacterium
Lineage: Bacteria
Description: partial 16S ribosomal RNA
Rfam family: Bacterial small subunit ribosomal RNA
Source: RNAcentral
GAUGAACGCUGGCGGCGUGCCUAAUACAUGCAAGUCGAGCGAACAGACGAGGAGCUUGCUCCUCUGACGUUAGCGGCGGACGGGUGAGUAACACGUGGAUAACCUACCUAUAAGACUGGGAUAACUUCGGGAAACCGGAGCUAAUACCGGAUAACAUGUUGAACCGCAUGGUUCAACAGUGAAAGACGGUCUUGCUGUCACUUAUAGAUGGAUCCGCGCCGCAUUAGCUAGUUGGUAAGGUAACGGCUUACCAAGGCAACGAUGCGUAGCCGACCUGAGAGGGUGAUCGGCCACACUGGAACUGAGACACGGUCCAGACUCCUACGGGAGGCAGCAGUAGGGAAUCUUCCGCAAUGGGCGAAAUCCUGACGGAGCAACGCCGCGUGAGUGAAGAAGGUCUUCGGAUCGCAAAACUCUGUUAUUAGGGAAGAACAAAUGUGUAAGUAACUAUGCACGUCUUGACGGUACCUAAUCAGAAAGCCACGGCUAACUACGUG